GUCUCUGAUGUUGCUGGCUGAUGAAGUUAUAAACUGUGGAUACACAAGCCAGAUCAAGCUGGAUAAUAAACAAAACACCAUUCGACUGAUUCCAAUGCUUCAGCAAGUGAGAAAGGGCAUGGAACUGUAUGGUCUGCUCAGUCAGAUGGCUGCAAACCCUGAAGCUUUACACACUCUUUGUUCUUGGGAAGAUCAUCAAAAUGCUGAUUUCAUAAUGAUGAACUGCCGACCACAGCUCAGUGAAAAGGGGACAUCUCAGGAGACAACUGAAAGAUUAUAAACUUCAUGCAAGAUUUUUGCCAGGAGCUUGAAAUAUCUGUGCUGCAGUUGAGGAGCCCCACUCUCUUGGAGUUCAGCAUGUGCUCCAGUGGUUGACCGGGAAAGCCCACAUUCCCAUCCUCCCUGAUGAAAAGAGACAUUUCAAAAUAAUAUUCAUGUUUGACCACGACUGCAGGGAGCCACUUGGAGAUCACUCCAUUUGUUACCAAACUGUGAGUGCAUGCACUCGUACAGUAACUUUUCCAGUGCAGCAUCUCAACACUUACACUGAAUUCAGAAGACUUAUGAGUGAAGCAGUUAGAUAUGGUGGUGGCUUCCACAGAGUUUAACAGAAAUAGCCCUCUGGUAAUCUGAAACAAAAAAUGAGAAGCUAUUUCUAAACAUUAACUGAUAGAAUAUGUUCAUAGCUAAUGAAAAAAGCAAAAACAAUUGUUCCUGUUAGCUCAGUGUUUGACUUUCUCUUCAGUCAUACAGAUUCCCUUUUAUACAGGGUUCUCUUGCUUUUAUUAGUUAGAAAAGCUUCAAUCAUUUUUGUCACUGUGCUGGA
Molecule: long non-coding RNA, 826 nt
Organism: Acanthochromis polyacanthus (spiny chromis)
Lineage: Eukaryota; Metazoa; Chordata; Actinopteri; Pomacentridae
Exons: 4
Source: RefSeq, a predicted model, not a curated record